CCCCUCUCAGGGUCACACCUGGAGAGUUUCCAGUCCUCUCCCAUUCUUGAUUACAAGAGGGAGAGUCAGGUAGAGGCAUAUCCAUUCCACUCCUAGCUUGGGCAGUGGCUAGCAAAUGGAAGACAAUCUGCUACAAGU
Ornithorhynchus anatinus (platypus) is the source of this 138-nucleotide non-coding RNA. The record is from Rfam. NCBI's taxonomy places the organism in Eukaryota, Metazoa, Chordata, Mammalia, Monotremata, Ornithorhynchidae.